This 563-nucleotide long non-coding RNA is filed under the name Mytilus galloprovincialis (Mediterranean mussel). The record is from RNAcentral. Lineage: Eukaryota; Metazoa; Mollusca; Bivalvia; Mytilida; Mytilidae.
AAAAACUUCGUUUAUCUAAUCCAUAUGGUUAAAGACGAACACGUAGGUUAAAGACAAUACAGCAAUGAAGCAGCAAUCUGACAACAAAACUCAAUAUUUUAAUUAGUUUGAGACCAUCUAAAAUUAAACAUGCGGCAUCUUUAUGGCAAACUAGUGUUAACUUCUGCGUGAUUUGGUCUCAUUGGCAAUUAUAUCACAUUUUCUUAUUUUUAUAUUGUCUAUACAGUUUAUCAAUAUCUAAAUUGUCUCAAGUCUAGGCAACUUGUUAUGUUUUGAUAACCACAAACCAUAUGUCUUCAACAAUUAACUCUUUUAAAGCAUUCAAACUUCUAAGAUAUCAAAAUAACAAAAUUAAAUAGGCAUGUCGGUGCUGAUCGGUGUGAGCCAAGGAUUCGUGUUGAAGACCAUGCUUUAACCUAUAAUGGUUUACUUUUACAAAUUGUGACUUGCAUGGAGAGUUGUUUCAUUGGCAUUCAUACCACCUUUUUAUAUCUAUUUAAAGAUUUUGCGAUAACAAAAAGCAUAACUGUGGUUAGCAUUAUCUAAUAAACAAAUUGACAACG